GGGCGGGGGGGGGCUAUAAUGCAGUCGAGCGGACAGAAGGGAGCUUGCUCCCGGAUGUUAGCGGCGGACGGGUGAGUAACACGUGGGUAACCUGCCUGUAAGACUGGGAUAACUCCGGGAAACCGGAGCUAAUACCGGAUAGUUCCUUGAACCGCAUGGUUCAAGGAUGAAAGACGGUUUCGGCUGUCACUUACAGAUGGACCCGCGGCGCAUUAGCUAGUUGGUGGGGUAAUGGCUCACCAAGGCGACGAUGCGUAGCCGACCUGAGAGGGUGAUCGGCCACACUGGGACUGAGACACGGCCCAGACUCCUACGGGAGGCAGCAGUAGGGAAUCUUCCGCAAUGGACGAAAGUCUGACGGAGCAACGCCGCGUGAGUGAUGAAGGUUUUCGGAUCGUAAAGCUCUGUUGUUAGGGAAGAACAAGUGCGAGAGUAACUGCUCGCACCUUGACGGUACCUAACCAGAAAGCCACGGCUAACUACGUGCCAGCAGCCGCGGUAAUACGUAGGUGGCAAGCGUUGUCCGGAAUUAUUGGGCGUAAAGGGCUCGCAGGCGGUUUCUUAAGUCUGAUGUGAAAGCCCCCGGCUCAACCGGGGAGGGUCAUUGGAAACUGGGAAACUUGAGUGCAGAAGAGGAGAGUGGAAUUCCACGUGUAGCGGUGAAAUGCGUAGAGAUGUGGAGGAACACCAGUGGCGAAGGCGACUCUCUGGUCUGUAACUGACGCUGAGGAGCGAAAGCGUGGGGAGCGAACAGGAUUAGAUACUUGGUAAAUCCAAAAAAA
This 782-nucleotide ribosomal RNA is filed under the name Bacillus pumilus. RNAcentral's name for it is "bacterial SSU rRNA". It matches the Rfam family "Bacterial small subunit ribosomal RNA", at positions 37 to 806 of the family's 1533-position model. Lineage: Bacteria; Bacillati; Bacillota; Bacilli; Caryophanales; Bacillaceae. The record is from RNAcentral.